AACGAACGCUGGCGGCAUGCCUAACACAUGCAAGUCGAACGAUGCCUUCGGGCAUAGUGGCGCACGGGUGCGUAACGCGUGGGAAUCUGCCUUUCGGUUCGGAAUAACUCAGGGAAACUUGAGCUAAUACCGGAUAACGUCGCAAGACCAAAGAUUUAUCACCGAAAGAUGAGCCCGCGUAGGAUUAGCUAGUUGGUGAGGUAAAGGCUCACCAAGGCGACGAUCCUUAGCUGGUCUGAGAGGAUGAUCAGCCACACUGGGACUGAGACACGGCCCAGACUCCUACGGGAGGCGGCAGUGGGGAAUAUUGGAAAAUGGGCGAAAGCCUGAUCCAGCAAUGCCGCGUGAGUGAUGAAGGCCUUAGGGUUGUAAAGCUCUUUUACCCGGGAAGAUAAUGACGGUACCGGGAGAAUAAGCCCCGGCUAACUCCGUG
Molecule: ribosomal RNA, 433 nt
Filed under: uncultured bacterium
Lineage: Bacteria
Description: partial 16S ribosomal RNA
Rfam family: Bacterial small subunit ribosomal RNA
Source: RNAcentral